CCCUGGCUCAGGAUGAACGCUAGCGGCAGGCUUAACACAUGCAAGUCGAGGGGUAUAGUUCUUCGGAAUUAGAGACCGGCGCACGGGUGCGUAACGCGUAUGCAAUCUACCUUUUACAGAGGGAUAGCCCAGAGAAAUUUGGAUUAAUACCUCAUAGUAUAAUGACUUGGCAUCAAGACAUUAUUAAAGUCACAACGGUAAAAGAUGAGCAUGCGUCCCAUUAGCUAGUUGGUAAGGUAACGGCUUACCAAGGCUACGAUGGGUAGGGGUCCUGAGAGGGAGAUCCCCCACACUGGUACUGAGACACGGACCAGACUCCUACGGGAGGCAGCAGUGAGGAAUAUUGGACAAUGGGCGCAAGCCUGAUCCAGCCAUGCCGCGUGCAGGAUGACGGUCCUAUGGAUUGUAAACUGCUUUUAUACGAGAAGAAACACUACUUCGUGAAGUAGCUUGACGGUAUCGUAAGAAUAAGGAUCGGCUAA
RNAcentral lists this ribosomal RNA (482 nucleotides) under Flavobacterium sp. BF.28. Its description in RNAcentral is "bacterial SSU rRNA". It matches the Rfam family "Bacterial small subunit ribosomal RNA", at positions 17 to 500 of the family's 1533-position model. Lineage: Bacteria; Pseudomonadati; Bacteroidota; Flavobacteriia; Flavobacteriales; Flavobacteriaceae. The record is from RNAcentral.